RNAcentral lists this ribosomal RNA (460 nucleotides) under uncultured bacterium. RNAcentral describes it as "partial 16S ribosomal RNA". It matches the Rfam family "Bacterial small subunit ribosomal RNA", at positions 338 to 795 of the family's 1533-position model. The record is from RNAcentral.
CCUACGGGCGGCUGCAGUGAGGAAUAUUGGUCAAUGGACGAGAGUCUGAACCAGCCAAGUAGCGUGAAGGAUGACUGCCCUAUGGGUUGUAAACUUCUUUUAUAUGGGAAUAAAAUGUUCCACGUGUGGGAUUUUGUAUGUACCAUAUGAAUAAGGAUCGGCUAACUCCGUGCCAGCAGCCGCGGUAAUACGGAGGAUCCGAGCGUUAUCCGGAUUUAUUGGGUUUAAAGGGAGCGUAGGUGGAUUGUUAAGUCAGUUGUGAAAGUUUGCGGCUCAACCGUCAAAUUGCAGUUGAGACUGGCAGUCUUGAGUACAGUAGAGGUGGGCGGAAUUCGUGGUGUAGCGGUGAAAUGCUUAGAUAUCACGAAGAACUCCGAUUGCGAAGGCAGUUCACUGGACUGCAACUGACACUGAGGCUCGAAAGUGUGGGUAUCAAACAGGAUUAGAUACCCGGGUAGUC